RNAcentral lists this ribosomal RNA (444 nucleotides) under uncultured bacterium. RNAcentral's name for it is "bacterial SSU rRNA". It matches the Rfam family "Bacterial small subunit ribosomal RNA", at positions 354 to 796 of the family's 1533-position model. The record is from RNAcentral.
GUAAGGAAUAUUGGUCAAUGGACGCAAGUCUGAACCAGCCAUGCCGCGUGGAGGAUGAAGGUUCUCUGAAUUGUAAACUUCUUUUAUCUGGCAAGAAAUCCCCUUUUCUAAGGGUGUUGACGGUAUCAGAUGAAUAAGCACCGGCUAACUCCGUGCCAGCAGCCGCGGUAAUACGGAGGGUGCGAGCAUUAUCCGGAUUUACUGGGUUUAAAGGGUGCGUAGGUGGCUAAGUAAGUCAGUGGUGAAAUCCCCGAGCUUAACUUGGGAACUGCCAUUGAUACUAUUUAGCUUGAAUAUUGAGGAGGUGAACAGAAUAUAUCAUGUAGCGGUGAAAUGCUCAGAUAUGAUAUAGAAUACCGAUUGCGAAGGCCGUUCACUACACAAUUAUUGACACUGAGGCACGAAAGCGUGGGGAUCAAACAGGAUUAGAAACCCUAGUAGUCC